RNAcentral lists this transfer RNA (61 nucleotides) under Sphaerodactylus townsendi. RNAcentral describes it as "tRNA-Ala". It matches the Rfam family "tRNA". Rfam says of the family: Transfer RNA (tRNA) molecules are approximately 80 nucleotides in length. Their secondary structure includes four short double-helical elements and three loops (D, anti-codon, and T loops). The record is from RNAcentral. Lineage: Eukaryota; Metazoa; Chordata; Lepidosauria; Squamata; Sphaerodactylidae.
GGAGGUGUGGCUCAGUGACAGAGCAACUGCCUGGCAUGCAGGUUCAAUCCCGGCACCUCCA